Molecule: ribosomal RNA, 53 nt
Filed under: Plagiorchis maculosus
Lineage: Eukaryota; Metazoa; Platyhelminthes; Trematoda; Plagiorchiida; Plagiorchiidae
Description: partial 18S ribosomal RNA
Rfam family: Eukaryotic small subunit ribosomal RNA (bases 1-44)
Source: RNAcentral
GUCGUAACAAGGUUUCCGUAGGUGAACCUGCGGAAGGAUCAUUACAGUAUUCC